UACGUAGGGGGCAAGCGUUGUCCGGAUUUAUUGGGCGUAAAGAGCGUGUAGGCGGCCAGAUAGGUCCGUUGUGAAAACUCGAGGCUCAACCUCGAGACGCCGAUGGAAACCAUUUGGCUAGAGUCCGGAAGAGGAGAGUGGAAUUCCUGGUGUAGCGGUGAAAUGCGCAGAUAUCAGGAAGAACACCGGCGGCGAAGGCGGGUCUCUGGGCCGUAACUGACACUGAGGAGCGAAAGCGUGGGGAGCGAACAGG
Molecule: ribosomal RNA, 253 nt
Filed under: uncultured bacterium
Lineage: Bacteria
Description: partial 16S ribosomal RNA
Rfam family: Bacterial small subunit ribosomal RNA
Source: RNAcentral